Molecule: long non-coding RNA, 635 nt
Organism: Pseudophryne corroboree (corroboree frog)
Lineage: Eukaryota; Metazoa; Chordata; Amphibia; Anura; Myobatrachidae
Exons: 3
Source: RefSeq, a predicted model, not a curated record
AACCGGGUACCAGAAGUUCAGAGGAAUGGGACGAUGCCAGAGACAACAACAAUAACAUCGGAAGCGCUCUCCACCCACAGGGCUGAUAUUCUGCUCAUGCUGCUAAAUAACGGGAUCUAUAUAUAGGGACAGAAGACAAUAAUGUGCUGAUGUAUGGGCUUUCUAGGAGUACUGCACACCAGUGAACCAGUCUAUUGCUUUCAAUCUUCAGCUCUAUUAAUGAUCAUCCAUCCCACCAGCUUGUUUACAUUUACAGGUCCUUAUCGUGCUCACAGCAUAGCCACUCCCCCCGCCACUUCCAAACCUGGUUACAUAUUUAUCAGCGGAAGAGAAGUAGGAUGAUACCACCACCAUCCUUGCUCCCAUGGAGCCUACACCAUAUGUGCCACCGCCACAGCAAACACCACCGCCCAGCACACAGGCAAGUGCUCCAAGUAUGGAUGAACUCUCCCUGCCCCUCCACCAUUUUUGGGAGCACCCACAUCCAGGUGGCCGGCGAGGCAAAUGGUCAUCUGCAGGAACUGACCCACGUGACACGUGAGCGGUUACAGGUAGCAACUGCAGGUGACUGGGGAGUACACGCAGGUCAUCCAGAAGCAAACGUAGGUGAUAGUUGUCCUGCAGUGGGAGCUGAU